CAGUUUUUAAUGUUUUAGUUCCUACACAUCAGAGAUUAAGUAAGAAAUAAGAAGUAAAUGUUUUUCUAUUUUUUUAUAUUCUGAAUUUAUUCUGUCAUAAACGUAUCUUAAUUCUUGUACAUUCAUAUCCUACAUAUAAUUUAGUCAACUUAUCUUAUUUAUCAGAAUAACAAUUAUAAUAUAAUCAUUAAUUUGUUAGUGCUAUUUCAAGAUUCCAGAAUACUUAAAAAGUGCCAAACAAAUUUAUACAUCCUGGGAAAGUAAUUAGGAGAAUAAAUUAUUACUUUAUUUCUCAGAUGAGUAAACUGAGUCACAGAGCAAGCAAGCUACUUAUCUUGGAUCAUAUGCUAAGCAAAUAUAACUCAGCUGUUUUGAUUCAAAAUAUCUCAAAGUGAAAUUUUAUCAUUCUCCCUAAACACUCCCCUUCCCAAUUAUCGUCAUUGGUAGUACCAUUCUUCUAGUCCCCCAGGUUUGCCACAAAGGCAUCAUCUGCACCUUCUCAUUAUCUCUCCCUUUCUCUCCUCUAAUGAAUCUUUGCCAAGGUCUAUCGAUUUCACAUGUUCAGCAUCUCUCAAACUUGACACUGCCACCAUCUGAUGCACGAUCCUAUCCCUUCACAUUUCUGCUAUUACAAGUGUCUACUGACUGCCUUCCUGUUACCUCUGGGACCAAAUACAAAUCCUUUGAUAUUCUGAGUCCUUGAUGACCUAUCCUCCCAACUUACACAUUAAUAUACUCUUUGAUCCAGUGUUACUGACCUCUUUGCUGUUCCACAAAUAAGACAUAUCAUCUCAACACCAGGUCAGAGAUGAAAACAAGAGACAACACUCCUGUUUGGUAGAAUUCUCUAAGCUUCGAGAACAGGAAUACAAUUACAAUUUACAGAUGUCCCUUGAGACACUAAAGUAA
Molecule: long non-coding RNA, 909 nt
Organism: Antechinus flavipes (yellow-footed antechinus)
Lineage: Eukaryota; Metazoa; Chordata; Mammalia; Dasyuromorphia; Dasyuridae
Exons: 3
Source: RefSeq, a predicted model, not a curated record